This 109-nucleotide ribosomal RNA is filed under the name Acanthosepion pharaonis. Lineage: Eukaryota; Metazoa; Mollusca; Cephalopoda; Sepiida; Sepiidae. The record is from RNAcentral.
UUACGGCCAUAUUACGUUGAAACAUCGCUUCUCGUACGAUCACUGAAGUUAAGUAACGUCGAGCCUGGUUAGUACCCAAAUGGGUGACCACUUGGGAAUACCAGAUGCU